GGGGAUGUUUUUGGAUUCGACAGGCACAUUUGCGGCAUAGACUGCAGGCCGAAGGCGCUCGUUACGCGCAUGCUUUAAAUUAAGCGGAAACAAAAAUUUAAACUUAGCUGCUGCCUAAGGGCACAGCACUCUAGCUUAGUAUUGUCCAUGUAUUAAGUCAAGGGUUCAUUUUUAAAGUGGAAUACGAUUGAUGACUGUGGCCCGUGGUUGUUAAUAAGAGAUUUAAGGGCUCGCAUGUCCCGUCUUUGUCAGCUGGGGUUCGGUGCAUGUUAAAUCUUGACAACUGACUAAGCUUGUAGACGUUUAUGUGACGGUGUGUUUGGACAGGGGUUCGAUUCCCCUCAUCUCCACCA
Molecule: transfer-messenger RNA, 353 nt
Filed under: Culicoidibacter larvae
Lineage: Bacteria; Bacillati; Bacillota; Culicoidibacteria; Culicoidibacterales; Culicoidibacteraceae
Description: Standard tmRNA
Rfam family: transfer-messenger RNA
About the family: Bacterial tmRNA, also known as 10Sa RNA or SsrA, is named for its dual tRNA and mRNA-like properties. Its role is to liberate the mRNA from a stalled ribosome.
Source: Rfam by way of RNAcentral